This 367-nucleotide long non-coding RNA is filed under the name Eucalyptus grandis. Its description in RNAcentral is "long non-coding RNA (EGRA_LNC006473)". Lineage: Eukaryota; Viridiplantae; Streptophyta; Magnoliopsida; Myrtales; Myrtaceae. The record is from RNAcentral.
CACACAUAUCAUCAUGCCAUAGGUGAUCAUCAUCAUAUCACACAUAUCAUCAUGCCAUAGGUGAUCAUCAUCAUAUCUCACACAUAUCAUCAUGCCAUAGGUGAUCAUCAUCAUAUCACAUAUAUCAUCAUGCCAUAGGUGAUCAUCAUCAUAUCUCAAACAUAUUAUCAUCAUGCCAUAGGUGAUCAUCAUCAUAUCUCAAACAUAUUAUCAUCAUAUCAUAUAUGCAUGAUUCAAUUUCCACUUUUAUCUUUCAAUUCGAUCACCACAUCUCUCUUUCCCGGGAUCAGUAAUUGCAUCCCAUACUUUAUCACUCGCACCCCAACCUGGCAUCGUGAGAAAACCUCCGGCAUACACCACCGGGCAU